This 516-nucleotide ribosomal RNA is filed under the name uncultured Cryobacterium sp. RNAcentral describes it as "bacterial SSU rRNA". It matches the Rfam family "Bacterial small subunit ribosomal RNA", at positions 843 to 1360 of the family's 1533-position model. The record is from RNAcentral. Lineage: Bacteria; Bacillati; Actinomycetota; Actinomycetes; Micrococcales; Microbacteriaceae.
GUGUCGCAGCUAACGCAUUAAGUUCCCCGCCUGGGGAGUACGGCCGCAAGGCUAAAACUCAAAGGAAUUGACGGGGGCCCGCACAAGCGGCGGAGCAUGCGGAUUAAUUCGAUGCAACGCGAAGAACCUCACCAAGGCUUGACAUAUACCGGAAACGGCUGGAAACAGUCGCCCCGCAAGGUCGGUAUACAGGUGGUGCAUGGUUGUCGUCAGCUCGUGUCGUGAGAUGUUGGGUUAAGUCCCGCAACGAGCGCAACCCUCGUCCUAUGUUGCCAGCACGUAAUGGUGGGAACUCAUGGGAUACUGCCGGGGUCAACUCGGAGGAAGGUGGGGAUGACGUCAAAUCAUCAUGCCCCUUAUGUCUUGGGCUUCACGCAUGCUACAAUGGCCGGUACAAAGGGCUGCGAUACCGCAAGGUGGAGCGAAUCCCAAAAAGCCGGUCUCAGUUCGGAUUGAGGUCUGCAACUCGACCUCAUGAAGUCGGAGUCGCUAGUAAUCGCAGAUCAGCAACGCUGC